RNAcentral lists this transfer RNA (72 nucleotides) under Nippostrongylus brasiliensis. It matches the Rfam family "tRNA". Rfam says of the family: Transfer RNA (tRNA) molecules are approximately 80 nucleotides in length. The record is from Rfam by way of RNAcentral. Lineage: Eukaryota; Metazoa; Nematoda; Chromadorea; Rhabditida; Heligmosomidae.
GUCUCAGUAGCGUAGUGGUUAACGCAGGGUCCCCGUGGGCACGAGACGCGGGUUCGAAUCCCGCCUGAGAUG